Leptonychotes weddellii (Weddell seal) is the source of this 639-nucleotide non-coding RNA. The record is from RefSeq and is a predicted model, not a curated record. Lineage: Eukaryota; Metazoa; Chordata; Mammalia; Carnivora; Phocidae.
CUUCAUUUUCUUCUCCCCCAGAGCCCAGGCCUGCCUCUGUCUAUUCACGGAGUUUGUAAGUCAGCGUGAAGGCCCAUUGACUGAGGAUGUGUGACUUUGUUCCCCCUGGAUGCUGAGGGCAAUGGAGUACCAAUGCACAAUGCAAGGACAUACCAGUCUCCAUGGAUUCUUGAAACACAGGAGGCCCAGAAAAUGGGAGAUCCCAUGUGCUACGGACUAGCAGAACAGUGGAUUACCCUGUGCCUGGCAAAAUGGAGCUCGUGAAUCCGGCUGUCUUCCCCCAUCUGACGGUGGUGCUGGGCCCUUGGCAUGCUCUCUACCACCUGGUUCUUCAUUUAUGAAGUUACCUCCACAUUUAUGAAGUACACUUGGGAUAUCUACAAAGAGCUUCUCAUCUUCUUGCUGUCCUCACUCUUCAUGGGCUUUGGAGUCCUCUUCCCGCUGCUCUGGGUUGACAUCUACAUAUGAGCUCCCAAGGGUUCCAACCAGGAAGCUUCACUGAAUCCCUGCUUUUGUAAAUUAAUUUUUUUUUACUGUUGGUAGAAGUGUCCCACCUGCUGCUCACAAUUAAGGCAGAUGUGUGACUGAAAAAAACACCCAAAACAACCUAACCCUGUAAUCAAGAUAAUAUUUUAAUGU